Triticum aestivum (bread wheat) is the source of this 1129-nucleotide RNA transcript. RefSeq lists it as uncharacterized. The record is from RefSeq and is a predicted model, not a curated record. The transcript has 4 exons. NCBI's taxonomy places the organism in Eukaryota, Viridiplantae, Streptophyta, Magnoliopsida, Poales, Poaceae.
UCGUUCUCCUCCCAUUCCUCCCACUCUCUUAUCCACACUACACAACAUCAGAUGCCAGCGUUGGGCAGGCGGGGACGGCGGCGAAGGCCUCCGGCGGUCGGAGCAGAUCGCCGGGCGUGGGGAUGGUGAGCGGCAUGGCUAGGCUCCAGCGAUCGCGGGCAUCUCCUCCACCGCAUCCCCACCAUGGACGGCCGGCCCCGAACUCCUUCGACGCCGCAUCCCUGCCAUGGACGGCCGGCCCCGAACUCCUUCGACGCCGCAGCUAUGGCGUCGUAUGCGAGGUCGGCGUGUGGGGUGGGGGAUCUCGGCGAGCUCCGCCGCCAUCUGCCACCGCCGCCGUCCCCGCCAACCCGCACGGCAGGAUCCCGAUCCCCGCUCUUAUUCCGCGUCUGUCGUCAAGGAGGAGCAGCGCCGGACGCUGGAAGGUCCAGUAGCCGGGGCUGCGGAGGAGCCGCGCCGGCCGCCGGGAGGUCCAGUAGUCGAGGCUGCGGAGGAGCCGCGCAGAGCGCCGGGAGGUCCAGACUAGAAGCCAUAGCCGCUGGUGCGUGUGUGCUAUUCCUGCCGCUGGUGCGUGUGUGCCGCUUCCUGCCGCUUCCUGCCGCUGGUGAAUGCGGGUUGUUCCUGCUAUGGGAAAAGGCCCGUUGGGGCGAUGGAGAGAGGGUGUUCGCGCUGUUGGGAGGGAUGCUUGGUGUUCGGGCUGGGGCUCCUCUCGUCCCGAACUAAUUCGUUCGAUCGAUGCCCAGAUUCCUUCCGAACGAAUCGUUCGGUGUGGGGAGGUCCCAGACCGAACGUUCGGCCGUUAUCGGCGUCCAUGCCUUAACAUACAACAACUUCAAUGGGUUGUAUCUAGUUUGUCUAAUAGCAUGGCAAAAAGAACCGGAGGGAGUACCUACAACCUUCCUUUCUUUCCUCAUUUAUUGUAUGACACUUCAUCAAGAAUUUUAUGUGGCAAAAUCUACCAACAACUAUCUUACAACCAUUAGAGAUGCCCUAAAGGCAUCUCCAACAACUGUAAAAUUGGUGUUGGUAAAUUUGCCACCUAAGACAUAAUGAUGAUGUGGCAUGUAAUAAAUAUGGAGAGAGAGCAAAGUUAUAUGUAAAUAACCAAUAAUCUUUCCACAAGCUCCAA